This 307-nucleotide ribosomal RNA is filed under the name uncultured Glomus. RNAcentral describes it as "SSU rRNA". It matches the Rfam family "Eukaryotic small subunit ribosomal RNA", at positions 569 to 880 of the family's 1831-position model. Lineage: Eukaryota; Fungi; Glomeromycota; Glomeromycetes; Glomerales; Glomeraceae. The record is from RNAcentral.
AGCAGCCGCGGUAAUUCCAGCUCCAAUAGCGUAUAUUAAAGUUGUUGCAGUUAAAAAGCUCGUAGUUGAAUUUCGGGACCAAUAUGUCGGUCGUGCCUCGGUACGUACUGGUGUUAUUGGUUUCUCUCUUCUGAGGAUCCUUGAUGUCAUUAAUUUGGUGUCUUGGGAAAUCAGGACUGUUACCUUAGAAAAAUUAGAGUGUUUAAAGCAGGCAUACGCUUGAAUACAUUAGCAUAGGAAUAAUGAAAUAGGACGUUCGAUUCUAUUUUGUUGGUUUCUAGGAUCGACGUAAUGAUUAAUAGGGAUA